GACGAACGCUGGCGGCGUGCUUAACACAUGCAAGUCGAACGGAAAGGCCCUGCUUUUGUGGGGUGCUCGAGUGGCGAACGGGUGAGUAACACGUGAGUAACCUGCCCUUGACUUUGGGAUAACUUCAGGAAACUGGGGCUAAUACCGGAUAGGAGCUCCUGCUGCAUGGUGGGGGUUGGAAAGUUUCGGCGGUUGGGGAUGGACUCGCGGCUUAUCAGCUUGUUGGUGGGGUAGUGGCUUACCAAGGCCUUGACGGGUAGCCGGCCUGAGAGGGUGACCGGCCACAUUGGGACUGUGAUACGGCCCAGGCUCCUACGGGAGGCAGCAGUGGGGAAUAUUGCACAAUGGGCGGAAGCCUGAUGCAGCGACGCCGCGUGCGGGAUGACGGCCUUCGGGUUGUAAACCGCUUUCGCCUGUGACGAAGCGUGAGUGACGGUAAUGGGUGAAGAAGCACCGGCUAACUACGUG
Molecule: ribosomal RNA, 468 nt
Filed under: uncultured bacterium
Lineage: Bacteria
Description: partial 16S ribosomal RNA
Rfam family: Bacterial small subunit ribosomal RNA
Source: RNAcentral